CACGUUGAAGUUGUUUGAGUUUCCAUAGUGUAAACCUCUCCUCGCCCUCCCAUAUCUUGGACAACAUGUUCACGUUCAGAGCACCUGUAGUGUGGGUUUUCUGUAGAACCCAGGAAGGGGCUGAGGUUCCAUCUGGGUCAGGGACACAGAGGUGAGACCAUUUCCUGAGUGAACUAGUUCAGUGGAGUCAGAAGAAGCCAAAAGAAAGUAAACAGGAGGAGGAAGAGGAGAAAUGUGACUAACUAGUGCCGGGGGCUCACUGAGUCACCUUUGCCAGCGGGCAGGGUCGCCAGGCAGAAAGAGGUCUGGAGGCGGGUAUAGCUUCCCUCGCCAGUGUGUUGAAUGCAGUCUGAGAGAAACGCCGCAGAGCAUGAACUUCUGGAGGACACCUGGACAUUCUCUUUGUUCUCAGAACUCCCAUGUGGCAAGCAGGCCUGGGACCCCUCCUGGCCUCUGCCAGGGCUCCUUGCCAGGCUCAGAGGCAGAUGCACUUUCUCUUGAGAUUCAUCUCUCUGUGGCUCCAUCUCAUCCGGCACUUAUGGAUAUGCACUGGAUCACCUUUCCUUGCCAGUGGCUGACCCCAUAUUCAUGGUCGGGGAGAAGGCUGCCCUCUUCAUUGUCUAGCCGUGACCUUGCAGAACAGUUUCAUGCAUCAGAGUUCUGCUUUGAGAUAUACGCUCUCCAUAUUUCAAGAGACAUGACUGCUGGCAGCUUCCAGAGUCACAUCCUCACUGAUUCACAACGAGACAAAAAGGAGGGCUUCUCCUCCAGCCAGCGCUAGUUUGAAAAAUCCCAAUGAAGGGUUGACUAGCCUUUACCUGUGUGCUUUCCCCUUGGAUGAGAGGGGAGCCUCCGGCUCAGGCCAGGCCUGCUUCGUAGCCGCCUUCAGGAUGAACGGAUGGGACUGACGUCGCCAGAGAGAACAUGCACAUACUCAUCAGGGUGAGAGAUGGAAAGAGGUGCAUGUUGUCCUUUAAUGCCAGAGGUUUCAGAAACCUUCAAAGAGCCUGUCCCUUUUUGGGGAGGAACCCUUCUUCCUUGGAGAAAUGGAGAGCGGCUUUGAACUUCACAAAAGCCUUGCCUUCAUAAGCUUGGCAAAGGCAAAAUCGGGCUCCACUAGAGGACCCUUCGGCUCAGUAGCGAAGAUAAUCCCAGCUCCUGGGCAGCUCAGCCUGUAAACCAAGGACAGCUGUUGUGAAAAUAACACAGUCAUAGUCAUUUUUAUUAAAAAACAAUUCUCAUGCAAAUCUGUUUACAGAGCAAAGAAUCUCCUUUCUGCGGGAUGGAAAAUGCUGUUACUUCUCAGAAGAUCCACUUGCCUUAAAUUCAUAGCAUUCAUAUUCAUUUAGUGAGCUGACAAAUAUUUAUUGAUAUCAGUUCUGUUUGACAACUACUUUGGAACCAGCCUCUGCAUAGUACUCAUUUAAAACUGAUUUUCCAUGCUACCCUGUAUUACAAAUCGACAUCAAAUAUUUAUUUUAGGAUUGAGUGCUAAUCAGUAUCCCUUGGAGGUGAUCCAUCCAAGAGGCAGUAAGGACUGGUGGAAAGGGAGAGGGGUUUGGAAUCAGACACACGUGUUUCAAACCCUGACUCUUGAUAAUCUGGGAUGAGCUGUGUGAUUUUAG
Equus caballus (horse) is the source of this 1625-nucleotide long non-coding RNA. The record is from Ensembl. Lineage: Eukaryota; Metazoa; Chordata; Mammalia; Perissodactyla; Equidae.